This 253-nucleotide ribosomal RNA is filed under the name uncultured bacterium. RNAcentral describes it as "partial 16S ribosomal RNA". It matches the Rfam family "Bacterial small subunit ribosomal RNA", at positions 524 to 776 of the family's 1533-position model. The record is from RNAcentral.
UACGAAGGGGGCUAGCGUUGCUCGGAAUCACUGGGCGUAAAGCGUACGUAGGCGGCUUUUUAAGUCAGGGGUGAAAUCCUGGAGCUCAACUCCAGAACUGCCUUUGAUACUGAGAAGCUUGAGUCCGGGAGAGGUGAGUGGAACUGCGAGUGUAGAGGUGAAAUUCGUAGAUAUUCGCAAGAACACCAGUGGCGAAGGCGGCUCACUGGCCCGGUACUGACGCUGAGGUGCGAAAGCGUGGGGAGCAAACAGG